This 204-nucleotide small RNA is filed under the name Arabidopsis thaliana (thale cress). Its description in RNAcentral is "ATSL282480". The record is from RNAcentral. Lineage: Eukaryota; Viridiplantae; Streptophyta; Magnoliopsida; Brassicales; Brassicaceae.
AUAUGGAGACAUGCAUUCUAUGACAUGAGACCAUCCUUAUUGCAAGUCUCUUACUACAAAUCUUAGGUGUAAUUAAUCAUAAUAAUAUGUGAAUAGUUUAGAAGUGUUUCUUAGAUAAGAGAUAAAAGUAGGUAUAAGAGCUUCAAACCAUUACAAAAACUCUUAGCUAUAAUUUUUUUCAAUAAAACAAUUCAUCAAAAUAGU